GGUUUCUAAAUCGUCGAUUGCCAAAAUUGUGAAGGAUGUGUGUGCUUGUUUAAAUAAACAUUUGCGGAGCUAUGUAAAGCAACGUUACACACGCGUAUUCGAUCCAGACCAAUAGAUCAAUGAGAACGCCAACUGUAGCGAAAGCCCCUCUUUGAUGUCGAUAAAUCGAGUAUCAGCAACGUACCGUUUCAUGCACUCACUGCAAGGACGAUGCAGGCCUGGAUCCAGUCAGUUCGAGGAGGGUUUAAGUGGGUAAGGCAUCGAUCGUACCACAUGAUUCGAGUGGUUGCGGAUGAUGAAUUCCACACUACCCAGGCAUCGGUGUCUUAAGAAGGUUUUCGUCACGUUUGAACCGGCCAUUCACUAACAAUACAUCUACCAGAACCUAGAACAAAACGGCAGCAAAAUACAAACAAUACAUGUGUACAUCUUCCUUGGCUAUCCUUACUGCAUUUUCGUUUCAUGCAGCGCCUGCAACCAAAACGAUCACGUAACCGACCGGACAAUCAAUUGAACUUCCAUGCUGGAAGGUGGAGCUUCACUUCAUGCACCACGUUCCAUGCGCACCUGACUGUGACUGAACACCCCACAUUUCCAGGCUCUCCAGCAAUCUUUCCUUGGAAUGCCAUGAGGCUUUCAAUUUCCACGAGGAACGAGGGGGCAUGCACAAGUUGUGUCUGUGCAGCCUGGAGUUUCCGUGCGUAGCCCUGUAACCGGGCCUCUUAAGCUAGUUAUAUAAAAAAAAGGCUAGGCUAAAAAAGAAGGCUAUUUUUUGUUUGUUAUGAAACAGUUAAAAUUAUGCGAUAUUCCCGCGCCUUUUUUAAGAUUUAACAUUUAUUAUUACUAAUAAAUAGUCUAAGGUUUAUUAUCUUUAUUUUAAAAAGGCUUUCGGCUUAAUUUAAAUGUACGCUAAUUCAAUGUUCCUUUUUAUUUUCAGCUACCGUCCACUAAACAACAAUGGCUGGAGGUAUCACAAAGGUUUGAGCAGCGUUGGAACUUCCUCCAUGCCAUUGGUGCGAUGGACGGAAAGCAUGUCAAAAUCCGCGCUCCUGCACACAGUGGAUCCGAUUACUACAAUUACAAAAACUUUUUUAGUAUUGUGCUUCUAGUAAUAGUGGACGCUGACUACAAUUUUCUGUUCGCGGAUGCAGGAGGAAAGGGAGGCAUUUCGGAUGGAGGAAUACUUCUAGAGUUUACGAGAGGCAAGUUACUUUUUUGGAAUCUACAAAACUCGCGUAAAAGAAAUAACGGAAAUUGUAAUCAAUGCUGUUUCAAGCAUCGUACUUGUUACGAAUUAAUCUCAGGAUGACAGCACACUUCCCCUAUUCAUUAAGAUUUAUAAUUGUUAUUAUAAUUUUAUUAAGUUAUCGAGCAAGUUUAUAGUAAUGGAUUGAUCUCGAGACAGCGGUACUACACUUAAAAAAGGUAUACACAAGUAUUCAAGUUUAAGGAUCAAUUUGGUAUGAAUCAAAUAAGUGUGGCGCUAACCUGGGGUAAAUUCUUAAACCAUGUAAGCACCAGUACUACGAGCAGCGAUGUAGUUUUAUCCUCAUCCAACAUAGUCACUCAACCGUUGUUAGUUAAGUACACCCAUACUCACCUCUCGCAUAUAUUUACGCGGUUCCCGUCCUGAUCCCGAAGCCAGUCCUGCUCCCGAUGCCAGGCCUGAUCUUGAAGCCCGUCCUGCUCCCGAUGCCCGUCCUGAAAUCGGUGCCAUUCCUGAUACCGGAGCCAGUCCUGCUCCCGAAGCCAGUCCUGAUCCCGAUGCCAGGCCUGAUCCAAAAGCCCGUCCUGAUACCGGUGCCCGUCCUGAUCCCGAUACCCGUCCUGAUACUGGUGCCCGUCCUGAUCGCGAUGCCCGUCCUGAAAUCGGUGCCAGUCUUGAUACCGGUGCCAGUCCUGCUCUCGAUGCCAGGCCUGAUCCCAAUGCCAGCCCUAUUCCCGAAGCCCGUCCUGAUACCGGUGCCUGUCCUGAUGCCAGUGCCCGUCCUGCUACCGGUGCCAGUACAGAUACCGGUACCCGUCCUGAUAUCGGUUCCAGUACUGAUAUCGUUCCUAGUCCAGGUCUCGAUUGCUGUACCGAUUUCGUUCGCUGUCCUGACGCCGUUCCCGGUCCUGAUCCGUUCUGAUUUACAUUCAUUUUUUUUUAAUUUUUGUUUGGUUCUGCUAAAAUAAUAUACACAUGAAUGUUUAUUUAAUAUUAACUCGGAAAAUAAGUGAUAAUUAAUACCGUACUUUUACAAUGCCGGCUUUAUGCUUGUUUUGUUUUAUUUUGUUUUGUUGUGAUAAUGCUCUUCCUUUUCCUGUUGACACCUACAAUGCUCAUUUUGAGUUUUCGGGUUGCUGUCAAAAAGAUUUCGGAUGAGAUUUCAGCUCGCGGAGCUGAAAUCUUUGACGUAAAGAUUUCGCCUGGCCCCCCCUUUUGACCGAAAACUUUUUGACAUUUCGAUUAAUGUUCUGUCUUAAAUCGUUAUACUGUGCCCUAGUCCGUCCUAUACUAGAAUUUGCUUGCGUUGUUUGGUGUCCAAACCAAGUGACCUAUAUAGACAUGAUAGAAAAAGUUCAGAAAAAGGCGACACGCGCUAUGUUUUAUCGUCUUCCUUGGUCAAACCAAAUGCCACGCUCCCCGCACCAUGUCAGGUGUCAGUUAUUUGGUCUCGAAACUUUAGAACACAGGAUAAAGAAUGCUCAAUGUAUUUUCAUGCAUAAAUUAUUAAAUGGGCUUAUUGAUGCACCUGAAAUUUUAAAUCUGAUCAGUUUUUCUGCACCUACUAAGGAUCUUAGAAGCAGGUCUUUAAUCAGGAUCCCAUUUCGAUCUUCUUCAUUUGGCGCUAACGAUCCUUUAAUUAAAAUGUGUGUCGGCUACAAUAGACUUGAAUCAUCUGCAGAU
Anopheles merus is the source of this 2890-nucleotide long non-coding RNA. RefSeq lists it as uncharacterized. Lineage: Eukaryota; Metazoa; Arthropoda; Insecta; Diptera; Culicidae. The transcript has 4 exons. The record is from RefSeq and is a predicted model, not a curated record.